This is a non-coding RNA of Paramisgurnus dabryanus, 526 nucleotides long. Lineage: Eukaryota; Metazoa; Chordata; Actinopteri; Cypriniformes; Cobitidae. The record is from RefSeq and is a predicted model, not a curated record.
AGAGAAGAAGAAGAGACGAGACGAGGGAAAUUUAUGAGGAGAAAAGACGUGAUUUUCGCGUUUCUUGGAGGAUUUAAAAACGAAAAUCUUGCCUGCAAUCAGAUGUACUGCCCGCAUUUUUACCCCGAGGAGGUGACUCGUUAUUACUUCGGACUGUUUCAGCCACACCCAUAAAGUGAUUGAGAUCUUCAGUGAAGCUCCUCCUACAACAAUCCACCAACAAAUGCUGGAGUCAAACACACAGAGAAAUCACUCCAUGUGUGACAACUGAAAUCUUCAUGACAUAAUGUUGAUGCUGGUGAAAGAGGAGCUUGAGAAGAUGACAGAUCCACAACCAUGCAGAAUAAAGAAUGAAGAUACUGUGAAACAAAUAGAUAUGAUUGAAGUGAAAGAGGAGAGUCAAGCUGAAGUGGAUGAGAAACAUCAGAUUGUAAAAAUAAACCAUAACUUUUCACCGAAAGGAACUCUGAAGACAGAAGACAUAAAGUGUGAAAAUCGUUUCAGAGGAGAUGAACGGCCUGCAGAU